Molecule: ribosomal RNA, 274 nt
Filed under: uncultured bacterium
Lineage: Bacteria
Description: partial 16S ribosomal RNA
Rfam family: Bacterial small subunit ribosomal RNA
Source: RNAcentral
AUACGAAGGGGGCUAGCGUUGUUCGGAAUUACUGGGCGUAAAGCGCGUGUAGGCGGAUCGUUAAGUCAGGGGUGAAAGCCCGGGGCUCAACCCCGGAACUGCCCUUGAUACUGGCGAUCUAGAGUCCGGAAGAGGUGGGCGGAAUUCCCGGUGUAGAGGUGAAAUUCGUAGAUAUCGGGAGGAACACCAGUGGCGAAGGCGGCUCACUGGUCCGGUACUGACGCUGAGACGCGAAAGCGUGGGGAGCGAGCAGGAUUAGAAACCCCAGUAGUCC